Molecule: ribosomal RNA, 436 nt
Filed under: uncultured bacterium
Lineage: Bacteria
Description: bacterial SSU rRNA
Rfam family: Bacterial small subunit ribosomal RNA
Source: RNAcentral
ACUCCUACGGGAGGCAGCAGUAGGGGAAUCUUCCACAAUGGGCGCAAGCCUGAUGGAGCAACACCGCGUGAGUGAAGAAGGGUCUCGGCUCGUAAAGCUCUGUUGUUAAAGAAGAACACGUAUGAGAGUAACUGUUCAUACGUUGACGGUAUUUAACCAGAAAGUCACGGCUAACUACGUGCCAGCAGCCGCGGUAAUACGUAGGUGGCAAGCGUUAUCCGGAUUUAUUGGGCGUAAAGAGAGUGCAGGCGGUUUUCUAAGUCUGAUGUGAAAGCCUUCGGCUUAACCGGAGAAGUGCAUCGGAAACUGGAUAACUUGAGUGCAGAAGAGGGUAGUGGAACUCCAUGUGUAGCGGUGGAAUGCGUAGAUAUAUGGAAGAACACCAGUGGCGAAGGCGGCUACCUGGUCUGCAACUGACGCUGAGACUCGAAAGCAU